This 443-nucleotide ribosomal RNA is filed under the name uncultured bacterium. RNAcentral's name for it is "partial 16S ribosomal RNA". It matches the Rfam family "Bacterial small subunit ribosomal RNA", at positions 338 to 795 of the family's 1533-position model. The record is from RNAcentral.
CCUACGGGAGGCAGCAGUGGGGAAUAUUGGGCAAUGGAGGAAACUCUGACCCAGCAACGCCGCGUGAAUGAUGAAGGUCUUCGGAUCGUAAAGUUCUUUUCUAAGGGAAGAAGAAAGUGACGGUACCUUAGGAAUAAGCCUCGGCUAACUACGUGCCAGCAGCCCCGGUAAUUCGUAGGAGGCGAGCGUUAUCCGGAAUGACUGGGCGUAAAGGGUGCGUAGGUGGUUUGGCAAGUUAGUAGUGUAACUCCAAGGCUCAACCUUGGAACUACUACUAAAACUGUUGGACUUGAGUGAAGGAGGGGCAGCCGGAAUUCCUAGUGUAGCGGUGGAAUGCGUAGAGAUUAGGAGGAACACCAGUGGCGAAGGCGGGUUGCUAGACUGUAACUGACACUGAGGCACGAAAGCGUGGGGAGCAAACAGGAUUAGAUACCCUAGUAGUC